CCCUAUUUUUCUCAAGGUUUAAUUUUUUUAUUUCAUACCGCCCUGGUUCCAGAAAUGGCAAGGCGGAUGCCUUGUCUAGGAUAGCUGACCCCCUCCAUACUACAGUAACCAAGGCCACCAUCUUGCCAGAGAGCAGAUUUUUAGGAGUUACCUUUCCUUCUGAUCUAAUGUCUCGCAUUAAAAAGGGCUACUCUAAAGAUCCAGUUUUUCGUGAUCCUCCUCGUGAUCUUCAUAUGACCAUGCUUAAUGGGUUUUGGAUUUUUCAACAACGUCUGUUUGUUCCAGAAUCAGUACGACUGGACGUUUUACGCCUCUACCAUGACUCUAAACCAGCAGGUCAUCCAGGAAUCCGAAAGACACAAGAACUACUUACCCGAUCCUUUUGGUGGCCUAAAUAUUAUGAGGGUGUUAAGAAGUAUGUGUCCUCUUGUGAUGUAUGUGCCAGACAUAAGACUCCUCGCUCAUCCCCUGUUGGCUUGCUUCAGCCUCUUCCGAUUCCUCAUCGCCCCUGGGGAUCUAUAUCCAUGGACU
Pelobates cultripes (western spadefoot toad) is the source of this 531-nucleotide non-coding RNA. NCBI's taxonomy places the organism in Eukaryota, Metazoa, Chordata, Amphibia, Anura, Pelobatidae. The record is from the annotation of a GenBank genome assembly.